Molecule: long non-coding RNA, 232 nt
Organism: Contarinia nasturtii (swede midge)
Lineage: Eukaryota; Metazoa; Arthropoda; Insecta; Diptera; Cecidomyiidae
Exons: 3
Source: RefSeq, a predicted model, not a curated record
AUAGCAUUGUGAAAAGUUUUGUUCAUGGCUGCUUGGAUGUUUGGCUGGCUAGUGGCACGAUUUAUAUUGAAGACGAUUGGCAGUACAGAUGUCAUGUAGACAUUCGCAUUAACAUCAUAAAUGCGCUCACCCAUAACAAGAAAAAAAUACAGGUAUCCAUUGGAGCACCAAUUAAAUUCGAAAAAUUGUCCAUUUGCAUUGCACCAUUCAUAUUAUUUCACACCAAUAUCAC